CAUUGUCUCUUUACAAUUCCAACAACCCCCAAAGAUAACUAAGAAAUUUCCUUGAGCAACCGCAUCCUGAACUGUUGUCUUGUACUGCAUCUAACACCACAUCCAGCAUUCCAACCGCCAGACUCUGACUUGAAAUUCUUAUCUUAGCUUCCGUACACAACUCCAUGAAUCUAGGAGAUAAUCACGCAACUAAACAUUACUAACAAGCAAUUGAACCAGUCAAAUCUUGGUUGCUAAAAAUUACAUGCGCGUGCCUUAAAACUCACAACAUAACUUUGGGACCAAUGAGUGCAAGCCUUUGAGGUAAUGAUUGUUUGUGUUCAUGACACCUUAUAAACAAUCAAGUGGGCUUCGGGUGGCAUCUUGCUUUCCGUUCCAUCAAAACAACGCACACACAAAAUCAAGUGGGUGACAUAGUCAAAACUCAUUAGACAACAUCGCAUCGCACUUUACAUAUUAAACCCAUGCAAUGAUCUCCGUGUGGGCAGCCUACACCAAUUUAUAGGAGCAUUCUAGGAAUAAAUGGUCACUCAAUAGUUAGGAUAAUCUCUCUCUCUCUCUCUCUCUCUCUCUCUCUCUCUUAUAUACGGUGCUCAUAUUUAGGCUAGUCAACAGGUUCUUUUAACGCUUUUGUGACAGGCUUCUCAAAUUCUUCUUCAUCCUUAUCAUCAAUUCCUUCAGUUUCUUUUGAGCUUGGAGGAUGACCGAAAGCUUGCAGAUGUG
RNAcentral lists this long non-coding RNA (723 nucleotides) under Phoenix dactylifera (date palm). RNAcentral's name for it is "long non-coding RNA (PDAC_LNC000783)". The record is from RNAcentral. Lineage: Eukaryota; Viridiplantae; Streptophyta; Magnoliopsida; Arecales; Arecaceae.